This 252-nucleotide ribosomal RNA is filed under the name uncultured bacterium. RNAcentral describes it as "partial 16S ribosomal RNA". It matches the Rfam family "Bacterial small subunit ribosomal RNA", at positions 524 to 776 of the family's 1533-position model. The record is from RNAcentral.
UACGUAGGGGGCAAGCGUUGUCCGGAAUUAUUGGGCGUAAAGCGCGCGCAGGCGGUGAUUUAAGUCUGGUGUUUAAUCCUUGAGCUCAACUUGGGGACGCAUUGGAAACUGGGUUACUGGAGUGUAGGAGAGGAAAGUGGAAUUCCACGUGUAGCGGUGAAAUGCGUAGAUAUGUGGAGGAACACCAGUGGCGAAGGCGACUUUCUGGCCUAUAACUGACGCUGAGGCGCGAAAGCGUGGGGAGCAAACAGG